This 495-nucleotide ribosomal RNA is filed under the name uncultured bacterium. RNAcentral describes it as "partial 16S ribosomal RNA". It matches the Rfam family "Bacterial small subunit ribosomal RNA", at positions 30 to 507 of the family's 1533-position model. The record is from RNAcentral.
UGAACGCUGGCGGCGUGCCUAAUACAUGCACGUCGAGCGAACAGACGCGGAGCUUGCUCCUCUGCCGUUAGCGGCGGACGGGUGAGUAACACGUGGAUAACCUACCUAUAAGACUGGGAUAACUUCGGGAAACCGGAGCUAAUACCGGAUAAUAUAUUGAACCGCAUGGUUCAAUAGUGAAAGACGGUUUUGCUGUCACUUAUAGAUGGAUCCGCGCCGCAUUAGCUAGUUGGUAAGGUAACGGCUUACCAAGGCAACGAUGCGUAGCCGACCUGAGAGGGUGAUCGGCCACACUGGAACUGAGACACGGUCCAGACUCCUACGGGAGGCAGCAGUAGGGAAUCUUCCGCAAUGGGCGAAAGCCUGACGGAGCAACGCCGCGUGAGUGAUGAAGGUCUUCGGAUCGUAAAACUCUGUUAUUAGGGAAGAACAAAUGUGUAAGUAACUAUGCACGUCUUGACGGUACCUAAUCAGAAAGCCACGGCUAACUACGUG